GGAAACCGUAGUAAUUCUAGAGCUACUACGAGCGUAAAUCCCGACUUCUGGAAGGGACGUAUUUAUUAGAUAAAAGGCCAGCCGGGCUUGCCCGACUCUUGGCGAAUCAUGAUAACUUCACGAAUCGCACGGCUUUAUGCAGGCGAUGUUUCAUUCAAAUUUCUGCCCUAUCAACUUUCGAUGGUAGGAUAGAGGCCUACCAUGGUGGUAACGGGUGACGGAGGAUUAGGGUUCGAUUCCGGAGAGGGAGCCUGAGAAACGGCUACCACAUCCAAGGAAGGCAGCAGGCUGCCAAAUUACCCGAAUGCCGCAACACGGCGAGGUAGUGACAAUAAAUAACAAGUACCGGGCAUUUUUGUCUGGUAAUUGGAAUGAGUACAAUGCUAGGAUCCCUUAACGGGUAUCCAUUGGAGGGCUUAAGUCUGGUGACUCAACACCGAGGUAAACUUACCAGGUCCAGACACGGAUAUUUAAGUUGAUUGACAGAUUGAGAAGCUCUUACUUGGAUUUCUGUGGGUGGUGGUGCAUGGCCGUUGGUUAGUACUGCUACGGCUACCUUGUCAGGUUGAUUCCGGUAACGAACGAGACCUCAGCCUGGGCUUAAAUAGUCCACGUCUACCUCGGAAGGCGCCUGACUUCUUAGAGGGUACUAUUGGCGUUUAGCCAAUGGAAAGUGUGAGGCAAUAACAGGUCUGUGAUGCCCUGAGAUGUUUUGGGCCGCACGCGCACUAACACUGAUGCAUUCAACGAGCCUAUCCUGUGGCCGAGAGGUCCGGGUAAUCUUUGAAAGGGCAUCGUCGAUGGGGAUAGAUUAUUGCAAUUAUUAGUGUUCAAAGAGGAAUGCCUAGUAAGCGCGAGUCAUCAGCUCGCGUUGAUUACGUCCCUGCCCUUUGUACACACCGCCCUUCGAUCCUACCGAUUGGGUGUGCUGGAGAAGUGUGGGAUCCCUUUUUGGGGCAACCUCUGUUGGUACUGAGAGGGAACAUUAAACCCUCCGCACCUAGAGGGAAGGGGAAGUUUUAACCCAAGGGGU
RNAcentral lists this ribosomal RNA (1033 nucleotides) under Dunaliella salina. RNAcentral's name for it is "bacterial SSU rRNA". It matches the Rfam family "Eukaryotic small subunit ribosomal RNA". Lineage: Eukaryota; Viridiplantae; Chlorophyta; Chlorophyceae; Chlamydomonadales; Dunaliellaceae. The record is from RNAcentral.